This 301-nucleotide ribosomal RNA is filed under the name uncultured bacterium. Its description in RNAcentral is "partial 16S ribosomal RNA". It matches the Rfam family "Bacterial small subunit ribosomal RNA", at positions 509 to 807 of the family's 1533-position model. The record is from RNAcentral.
CAGUCGCCACGGUAAUACGUAGGUGGCAAGCGCUGUCCGGAAUUAUUGGGCGUAAAGGGCUCGCAGGCGGUUUCUUAAGUCUGAUGUGAAAGCCCCCGGCUCAACCCAUAGUCUGCACAGGAAACUGCGAGGCUUGAGGUUGGGAGAGGUGAGUGGAAUUUCCGGUGUAGCGGUGAAAUGCGUUGAGAUCGGAAAGAACACCAACGGCGAAAGCACUCUGCUGGGCCGACACUGACACUGAGAGACGAAAGCUAGGGGAGCAAAUGGGAUUAGAUACCCCCGUAGUCCCUGUCUCUUAUAC